UUGACAAAAUGGUCACUGAGAGCAGUGCAACCCCCAGCAUUAAAGUGGAAGAGUGGGUGUCACUGUUAAAGUUGCAGGAAACAACCUGGUCCUCAGUGUAACUCAGGAUGCCCUUGCAGGGAACCUCCAAUGCCUGCUUCAUCACCUUGUUUUUGGCAGCUU
RNAcentral lists this long non-coding RNA (162 nucleotides) under Lynx pardinus (Iberian lynx). Lineage: Eukaryota; Metazoa; Chordata; Mammalia; Carnivora; Felidae. The record is from RNAcentral.